RNAcentral lists this long non-coding RNA (1249 nucleotides) under Homo sapiens (human). RNAcentral's name for it is "non-protein coding lnc-ONECUT1-1:5". The record is from RNAcentral. Lineage: Eukaryota; Metazoa; Chordata; Mammalia; Primates; Hominidae.
UUCAAAUGCAAGUUGCAUCCCCAAAUGCGAGGCUGGCCUGACCAAAAAGAGCCAGUCGGCGCCCGGAAGAGGCGAGACUCGCGCUUGGGUUCUCAAUCCUUCUCUUUUCUCCUUUCUUUUUCCCUUUCUCCUCUCCGGUUCCUGAUUUAGCUGGGAGCUGUUUAUUUAUGGCUGCAAAUGUGUGUGUUCAAGAGAGAGAGGGAAUUGAUCUUUGCCUGGACUUAAAGAUGGAGCCGAAGAAGCUGGAGGGAAUUUGGGCUUGUGCGUCUGGCCCAGACCCUGUGCGCCGAGCCCGAGGUCUAUCCUCCCCGCACCUCUCACCUCGCGACCUUGCAGGAAUCCGCGGGCCCGGAUGCUGCCCAGCUGACCCUCCUGCCCCGGGCCUGGCUGCAGAGAAAGUCUUCGGGCAGGAGGCCAUCCUGUUCCUGUCUUUAAAAUGAGCACAAUAAAAGGGGGCAAAUCCUCGAACGCGAACCUGAUCUCAUGUCACAGAAGCAACUUGCCAUGAAAUCCGCUAAUGCGCUGCGACUCGCCCACCAGGAUAAAUAACCCCAUCGUCCGUGUAAUCAGCACGUUCCCAAUGAAGUCGUUUUCCUAGAAUGCGCUCUCCGCCUGCCACACUUGAGGAAUCCAGCCCACAGAGGUUUCGGAAACCCAGUUUGAGUGAUUCCAGCCUAGACUGAAACCCUGAGAGCCUCCCAGGAAAGAGAGCCCGGCCUGGGCCAAGCAGUCGGACACACACACACACACACACACACACACACACACACACACACACACACACACGGACUGCGUAGCUCUUCGCAGGAUCGAAGGCUGGAUGCGGAUCUGGGAGGCGGUGGCUAAGCGAACCAGGAAGACUGUGACGGAAACCAAUACAGCAGUGUCAUCUUGAAAGUUAUUUGGAAGAACAGGACCUGGAGUCUGGGUUUGAAUCAAAAAAUUGUGAGCAAGGGACAGAUCACCCUGUAUUUCUCUGGAACGAGGCAGAACUGAGACCUGCUCAGCUGAACCAGCGUGGCCACAUAUUGGGGACUAGGAAAUUGUUCUCAGACACUGUAGCACACACAUCCUCUGACAGCGAGCUCACUCCUGCGCAGUGGGCUUCUGGUUCUGCCACUGCACUCCACAAACGCCCUACAGGCCUCCUCCAGGUUUUGCCAGGCAAAUGAAACGAGCACAACUCGAUAGUAAAUUAUUUUGUUCAGCCUUCUCUCUUUUUAUGAAAAUAAGAGGCAACACUUUGUCA